UCCCUUUCCUUCCUUUCUUUUUGGUUUAGAGAAGCCCUUUCAGUAUUUCCUUUAACCUGGGUUUUGUGUUGCUGUAUUCUUUAAGUUUUUGUUUGUUGGGAAAAAUUUUUAUUUCCCCUUCUAUUUUAAAUGAUAUUCUUGCUGGAUAGAGUAUUCUAGGUUGCAUAUUUUUUCCUUUUAGCACUUUAAAUAUCUCUUGCCAUUCCCUCCUGGCCUGUAGUGUUUCUGUAGAGAAAUCAGCUGAUAUUCUUAUGGGGGUUCCCUUGUAGGUAACAUUCUGUUUUUCUCUUGCUGCCUUUAGGAUCCUCUCUUUAUCACUAACUUUUGCCAUUUUUAUUAUGAUGUGUCUUGGUGUGGGUCUGUUUGGGUUCAGUUUGUUUGGGGCCCUCUGUGCUUCUUGUAUCUUGAAUCCAGUAUCCUUUAGAUUUGGGAAGUUUCCAGCGAUAAUUUCUUCAAAUAUAUUUUCCAUUCCCUUAUCUUUUUCUACUCCUUCUGGAAUUCCUAUUAUGCGUAGAUUGGCCCGCUUUAUAUUAUCCCAUAGGUCUCUUAUAUUGCUUUCCAGUUUUUUGAUUCGGUUUUCUGUCUGUUGACCAGAUUGAGUGAUUUCCAUUAUUCUAUCUUCCAUAUCACUGAUUCGUUCUUCUGCAUUAUUCAUUCUGGUUUUUACUGCCCCUAGUUCAGUUUGCAUCUCUGCAAAUGAAUGUUCUAGUUUUUCUUGGCUCCUCCUUAUAUUUUCUAGUUCCUUUCUGAGGGUAUCUGCAUUACUGUUCAUAUCUUCUCUUAAUUCCUUCAGUAUUUUCACUAUUUCUCUUUUGAACUCCAGGUCUGUCUGACUGCAGAGAUCUGUUUCAUUGUUGACUGUUUUAGGUGAGUUCUCCUGUUGGUUUGACUGGGGGUGGUUUCUCAGCUUCUUCAUCUUGCUUGUUGUUUUCUUUCUCCUGAGGGAGUUGUACUCUCCGUUAUCGGGCAGUGUUUGCCUUGUCACUGCCGUGGAAUAUUUCCUGAGGGCUGGCGUUGUUGGUCAAUCUUUUUUGAGGCAGUGUGGCUUUUCUGGAGUGUUGAUGGGGCUAACAGUGUUUCUUUGAAGCAAAGGAGGACUUCCUGAGGGCAGACAGGACUGGGAGGUCCACACCACGAUGGUAGCAGAUUUCACUUGGUCAUGCAGAGCUUGCUCUGGUGUUUUUAGGCUGUGGGGUUCUUGCAGGGGGUUGGCGGUGUUGGGCAGCUGCUCUUCAGGGGUGCAUCACCCCCUGGGGGCUGGAGCAGCUAUCUGGGUCACUGAGAACCUAAGAGGCUCUUCCCUAGGGCAGCCCAACUCAGAAGGACAGCCUGAGAAUGUAGGCCGAUCUAUUCACGGCCUGGCUAGGCUUGUUCUAGCUUUUCUGGGCUGCAGGCCUUUUCUCGGGGGCUGGUGGUGUUUGGUGCUGCUCUGCGGAAGUGUAGCCCCUCCAAAGGGCAAGCAGGCCUGUGCAGGGACAGCCCCUGCGGUGGUAGGCUUCAGGCAAUUGUUGAGGCCAGCCCUCCUGGAUGGCAGGCAGCCCCAGGUUCUGCGAGAGCGUAGGGGGUGGCGGGGGUGGGGGGAGGGGAUGCACUGGGAAGCACAGCUUUCUGCUAGCUAGCGGGCCUGUAAGCUUGCUGUGGCGUGGGGGGUAUUCUAUGGGGACCCACCCCUUCUUCUCU
Molecule: long non-coding RNA, 1680 nt
Filed under: Sus scrofa (pig)
Lineage: Eukaryota; Metazoa; Chordata; Mammalia; Artiodactyla; Suidae
Description: lncRNA (ENSSSCG00035005494.1)
Source: RNAcentral